AAACCAUGCAUCGAGAAUUUUCUAAUUAUCUCAUUGAAUCACUCCGAUGCUUCAUAUAAUGUUUCGUCCUUAGAUUGCCGAAAGGACGUGAUAUCGUUCCUCAGUUU
This is a small nucleolar RNA of Gossypium raimondii (Peruvian cotton), 107 nucleotides long. It matches the Rfam family "Plant small nucleolar RNA R71". Rfam says of the family: R71 is a member of the C/D box family of snoRNAs containing the C (UGAUGA) and D (CUGA) box motifs. Multiple nearly identical copies of this snoRNA have been identified in Arabidopsis, and it is thought to function as a 2'-O-ribose methylation guide for 18S ribosomal RNA. NCBI's taxonomy places the organism in Eukaryota, Viridiplantae, Streptophyta, Magnoliopsida, Malvales, Malvaceae. The record is from Rfam.